UUAAUUGAAUUCGAUUAACGAUUUUUGCAAUUAAUCGGAAAAGUGUAAUAAAGAAAUUCAAUUUCAUAACUCAUUAUCAUAAUAAAAGUGUUUAUAUCUUCUUGCUCCUUAUAAGAUUGAUUUCUUGUCAUAGAUUUCAAUAAAAAAAAUAUUUUAAAUCCCAACGUUCAUAAUAGUAUUCUAUCACCAUGAUCUUUUGGGCUACGAUGACAUAUGCCAUUAUAGAGAUGGCAAUGUCUUUCCUCAUGUCCAUCUCAUAAUUAUAGACAGAACGACCCUUUCAUUUCGAUUGUGAGAUGUAAACUCAAAUGAUAUUCAAAACUUUUGGCAUUUAUGAGAAAUUUUAUUGAAUCACAUCUUUUCACUGGAUUGUAGAUUUUUAAUCAGAUAAUGUUAUUGUGUGAAAUUAAUUGAAUAAAUGAAAAUGGAACUUUA
Coccinella septempunctata (seven-spotted ladybird) is the source of this 435-nucleotide long non-coding RNA. RefSeq lists it as uncharacterized. NCBI's taxonomy places the organism in Eukaryota, Metazoa, Arthropoda, Insecta, Coleoptera, Coccinellidae. The transcript is spliced from 2 exons. The record is from RefSeq and is a predicted model, not a curated record.